GGGAGGAGGGAGGGGUGUUGAGGGCUUUGUUUGGUGCAGAGCUAAUGAAAAUACGUAUAAAGUACAUCUUGGUGUGAACUGUGACGUUGAGCACCCUGGAGUCAACCUCUUUGAGUAGGUGUGGUGUUCCCUUGAUCUUCAGGUGUUAGUUGUCUUCACACAGACAACUUGAUAUUCUCGGAUCUGUGCUACAGUGUAAGUCAUCCUCAAGAACACCUGCCCAACAGCAUGAGCUCAUACAGUAUCUUUGAUGUGCGUGAUCGUCAGGACCACCUGCCCAACAGCAAGAGCUCACACAGAACCCCUCCACUGACCCAAUACCCCUACAGGAAGUCUGCUCUAAAGCCGACUCUGCAGGCAACCUACAACCACCAUGAUCGUUCCGAGGAGAUCAGGCGUGACUUUCUCGCUCUUGAAGCAGAAAAAGGUUUUCAUGUGUACCUUAAAGGCAUUAAGGAAUGCAUUCAGCGAUAUCGCCACCAUAUAAUAACCCUGAAGUAUGAAUGGAAGAUCGGAGACUUUGAAGACACCAUCUUCAAAGAUGACAAAACUCAUUUGGAGAACUGGCAAGAACAGUACCUUCCUGACCACAUGAGAAUGCAGGUGUUAGGAACCAUCAGAGACAACAGCUGCACACCAGGGUGCCCUGAAAUAGUCCUUUUGCUGUGUGAAGACAGGAAGAUCUUCGCCUAUCGUGAACUGGAGAUGCACUUCUUGGCAAAUAACUUAGAGGAGCUGUUUGGGGAAGGAAUUUGUUUCCCUGGAAAGAAAAUAUUUCAUCAUGACCAAUGUUUUGAGGACCUGAAUGUCCUGCCCAUUUUGAAAGCCUUUUUCAGAAAUAUGAAGUGGGUGGAGUUAUGGGGUGAAGUGACACUUUAAAUAGUGUGAACGUGGGACGUUCACCUACAGAGGACGAUUUGGAAAAGGCAAGGAGAUCUGAUGAGAUGGUGAAAUUGAAGGAGGAACUGAAGACAGCGGGACAGCCAGUGAUUGCUGCGUUGAAGGCCUCCAUAGCUGCCUUCCAAAGCCGAUCCAAAGUUGCAGAAAGACAAAGACAGAGAAAGAAGACUACAGAAAAGAACCCUGAGUAUGCUGAACCCUGGGUAUGCUGACACUCAGCUGUUUAAAAACAACACUCAGUGAUGGACUAAUUCAUAUUAUGCUCUAGCACUCAGUGAUGCACCAAUUCAUAUUGUACUCUAGCAAUCACUGAUACAUAUUAUUACAGUGCAUGAAAAUGCACUGUACUGUUCUUCCUUGGUCUUCUUCUUCUUCUUCUUCUUCUUCUUCUUCUUCUUCUAACGCACGCCGCUUAACGUAGAAACUCCAUUCAAAUUUUGUCGCGUAGGUCUUACUUACGCGAUGUGGGUUUUGUAUUUUUCAACUUUGUAACUUUUAUACUUUUUAAACUAUUAGCCGGCCACCUGGGGCACCAACUGUCAGUUUCUCUGGCUUUAACCCUAUAGUGCCGUGCGUAUCAGAUUUGAUACAUGCAUUUCUGAGACCCAUUGCAUCACCAUGAGAUAUAAACUUUGCAUAAAACCCAGUUGUAUACAAUAUGUUACUUGUCUUUUGCCCCCUGUUGGAUACCUUUUGCAUUAUAACAAUUCUGACAAGUGGUUUGUUACAAUUCAAAAUGGUGGAAUCUCAUUAGCACCCUGAUGGUUAUGCAAAGGUCAAGGAUAUUGGUAAUUUGAUGAUUUUAUGGUGAGAUUUACCUUUACAUAUGUAUCAAUAUUUUAAAAUGAAAUAUUGCUUUGUUCAAAAAACAUUUAAAAAAAAAAAAAAUCAAAUGUAGUUUGGUGUAAAAUCGAGCAGAAAAUGUUAGUAUCAAAUUUGAUAAAGCAGGUAAUUCUCUCAGUGGUCAUGGGGGCUUUUUUUUUUUUUUUGGGAUAUUAUAUGAGUAUUAUGUCUUCCAUACAGUGUUUAAUGAAUCAAUUACACAAUUUACAUAUUAAAAUGUGAUAUUUACAACAAAUAAGUUGUCUUUGCUGUCUUUGCUGUCUCCUUGUGUUCUGUCUAACUGUAUGUUGCUUUUCCUGUUGCUGUGUCUUGCUUUAUGUUAUUGUGUGUCAUGUUGUGCUUUGCUUAUGUUGUUGUCUGUAUGGUGGCACUGAGUUUCCCCUUUAGGGGAUUAUUAAAGUUAUCCUUAUCCUUAUCCUUAUCCUUAUCCUUAUCCUUAAAUAAUUCAUAAUCCGUAUUCAAAAUUCCUAAAAAUCCAUGCUAUGGCUAAUUUACAGAGGUAUAAAAGAAAGUUCUCUACUGAAAAUGUUCUGAAAUUCCUUGAUGGCAAUUGGAGUGACAUACAGGGCCAUGUAGAGACAGAUGAUGAAGUGUAAAAUAGAAAUAGGACUCCAAAUACAGAGCAUGACGAGAAAAGUUCUACUAAAAGUAACGCUUCUGCCUGGUUAUCUCAUUGCAAAAUGAAAGAAAUGGAUGUAAAAAGGCAGCUGUUUGAAGAAAGAAAGAUUUGGAUGUUAUGGAUGACCAAAAAUCUUACAUAUGUCCAAGGUCUUGAUUUUGACCAACGUGUGUGUAAUGCCCAAUGUAUCAAAUAUGAUACAAACAGAAAAACGUAUUUGCAAAUCUUUUUUUACAUUUUUUUUUUUACAUUUUGGUUUAGGGCCUAAUAAAGACUCCAGAUUCUAAAAAAUAGAAUUUUCUGACCAUUAUUUAUUGGGUCAUACAGUCUCUCAGAAGACUACAUAUCCUGUUAACUGUUUCCUCUGUUCACAACUGUUUCAAAAUAAAAGUCCUCACUGCAAUAAUACACUAUUAAAUCAUUUAACCAUUGAAACUACUCAACUAUUGAACUGUUCAACCAUUCCAAC
Molecule: RNA transcript, 2831 nt
Organism: Sardina pilchardus (European sardine)
Lineage: Eukaryota; Metazoa; Chordata; Actinopteri; Clupeiformes; Clupeidae
Exons: 9
Source: RefSeq, a predicted model, not a curated record